RNAcentral lists this ribosomal RNA (463 nucleotides) under uncultured bacterium. RNAcentral describes it as "partial 16S ribosomal RNA". It matches the Rfam family "Bacterial small subunit ribosomal RNA", at positions 28 to 507 of the family's 1533-position model. The record is from RNAcentral.
GACGAACGCUGGCGGCGUGCUUAACACAUGCAAGUCGAGCGGUAAGGCCCUUCUGGGUACACGAGCGUCGAACGGGUUAGUAACACGUGAGUAAUUUGCCCAUCACUUCGGGAUAACUCCGGGAUACCGGUGCUAAUACCUUAUUUGACCACUUCAUGCUUCUUAUGGUUGUGGAAAGUUCCGGCGGUGUUUGAUGUGCUCGACGCCUAUCACCUUGUUGGUGGGGUAGUGGUAUACCAAGGCUUCGACGGGUAGCCGGCCUGCGAGGGUGAACAGCCACAGUGGGACUGAGAGAGGGCCCAGACGGCGACGGGAGGCAGCAGGGGGAAAUAUGGGACAAUGGGCGAAAGCGUGAUCCAGCAACGCCGCGAGAGGGAAGACGGCCUUCGGGUUGUAAACGUCUUUGAGCAGGGACGAAGCGAAAGUGACGGUACCUGCAGAAGAAGCACCGGCCAACUACGUG